Molecule: long non-coding RNA, 183 nt
Organism: Sebastes umbrosus (honeycomb rockfish)
Lineage: Eukaryota; Metazoa; Chordata; Actinopteri; Perciformes; Sebastidae
Exons: 4
Source: RefSeq, a predicted model, not a curated record
UGCUAAAUGCAGCAACAACAGCUGUCAAAAGAAAAAAAUUGCCGAUGUGUGAGUGCGUAAAUUAACAAACUUACUAAUUUAACGGAAUACUCAAAAGUCAGAUAUAUUUGUCUAGUUUGGGCAGUGAUAUAAAUAGCUUUCAAAACAGAAUAAAAGAACAAAUUACACUUCAUUAUACCCUUU